This 197-nucleotide unclassified non-coding RNA is filed under the name plant metagenome. RNAcentral's name for it is "partial contains small subunit ribosomal RNA, internal transcribed spacer 1, and 5.8S ribosomal RNA". The record is from RNAcentral.
UCUCCGUUGGUGAACCAGCGGAGGGAUCAUUACCGAGUGCAAACUCAUAACCCUUUGUGGACCUAUAUCUGUUGCUUCGGCGGCUCGCUCUCGGGCGAGCCCGCCGGUAAUAUCAGUAUCUCUGUUUGAACCCGACGAUACUUCUGAGUGUUCUUAGCGAACAGUUAAAACUUUUAACAACGGAUCUCUUGGCUCUA